CACGUAGGGCGCAAGCGUUGUCCGGAAUUAUUGGGCGUAAAGAGCUCGUAGGCGGUCUGUUGCGUCCGCUGUGAAAACUCGGGGCUUAACCCCGAGCCUGCAGUGGAUACGGGCAGACUAGAGGUAGGUAGGGGAGAAUGGAAUUCCCGGUGUAGCGGUGAAAUGCGCAGAUAUCGGGAGGAACACCGGUGGCGAAGGCAGAUCUCUGGGCCGUAACUGACGCUGAGGAGCGAAAGCGUGGGGAGCGAACAGG
RNAcentral lists this ribosomal RNA (253 nucleotides) under uncultured bacterium. Its description in RNAcentral is "partial 16S ribosomal RNA". It matches the Rfam family "Bacterial small subunit ribosomal RNA", at positions 524 to 776 of the family's 1533-position model. The record is from RNAcentral.